UGGUGUUGGAGUAAAACUUUAUUUGGUUUGGAUUUGUUGGUUUGGUUUGGAUUUGGAUUUGAUUAAAACGACAUUACAAAUAUGACGAAAAUCGAACAUCAAUCGAACAUUAUAUCGAUCGAUAACUACAGCUACAACAUUCAUGUAUAUAUAUCGAUAACGAUAUGUGAUGUGUGGGUGUGUUUGUGUAAUUAAAUCUUAUGCACUAAUUGGAACUGUUUUUUGGAUUAAGGUUUUUCUUGGUGCAUCGAAUGAAUGUGUACUCUUUGUUGUUUUUCUUGUAUCUUUGGUGUGUUGCAACUGAAACACGUAGUCGAUAACCAUGUUGGCCACAUCCUUGAACCAUUUUUCUCCAGGCACAGGCACUGACACACACUUGCACCCAAACACACACACACACACAAACAGCAUAUACUGUAGCACUCUUGGGACGCCCCACUCUCGCUCUCUUUCGUUCGUUCGCUCUCUCUCUCUCUCUUUCGCACUCACACAAACAACUGAAAACGUUGCACAUACGACCCGUAUGCACGCUAGUUGCCACACAAAAACCCAUCGCCAGAACCGACGAACGUCGACGCCUUAAACCUCCUUUUCCAUCUCCUUCUCCUGCUUUCCUGUGUUUCGAUUGGAUGCAGCCAAGUGUUAUGCAACUACUUAAAGGACUUUAUCAUGUGAUUUCUGUGUGAUUUGCGUUGUUUGAGUUGUGAUUUGUGUGUGUCUGUGUCUGUGUGCUGCUCAUCCUUCUGGGAAUCCUUCUCCUGACGAUGCUGCUCCUCCUCCUCCUUCUACCGCCAGUUGCUCGUCUCCUUACAGAAGAUAGCAUUUCCGACGCCAACAGGAACAGGUGCAGUGCACAUGACGAUAGUAGCGACAGAGGCACUUCAGAUACUUGUAUCCCGCACAGCAAUGAUGCGAAUGCGUGUGCGAAUGCGAAUGGUAGUGACUGUAGCAGGACCCACUGUCAUGCAGACAAUACGAAUAGCAUCCACAGUCGCACAUCUUGGCUCUGGUUAGAUCUAGGGAUCUCUUCCUGGCUCUUCCUGCGGAUGGGGGGGAUCAGCUAUGUCCCUGCUCCUUUGAUGGCCUC
Molecule: long non-coding RNA, 1087 nt
Filed under: Drosophila guanche
Lineage: Eukaryota; Metazoa; Arthropoda; Insecta; Diptera; Drosophilidae
Source: RNAcentral